GAAAGAAAGAGAAAUAAAGCUCUUUACAUAUACACAUAAACAUCCUUUGUAUUUUUUUCUGCUUGACUCAGCUUAACACGUACCUACUUGGAAACCAUUUAUCAUACAUCCGUGUAUUUACCCCUGCCCUAGUAUUUACCACAACACGUUGUGACUGCUUUAUGAACAGCACAGUGCCAUGCUCUUACAAGAACUCACAGUGACUCUCUGCUUCUACUUUCAGAAUCAAAAAGAAUUCCUGGAGCUAAAGAAUACAUUUCAAGAAAUCAGAACUUCUCUUGAAAGUAUUAAAAGCAGAUUAGACCUUGUAGAAGAAUCUCUGGUCUUGAAAACAAAACUUCCUACACACUCUAGAUAACUGGAAAUAAAAAUCCAGAAGAAUAGCAAUUAAAAAUGAGAACAGCAG
Molecule: long non-coding RNA, 406 nt
Organism: Tupaia belangeri chinensis (Chinese tree shrew)
Lineage: Eukaryota; Metazoa; Chordata; Mammalia; Scandentia; Tupaiidae
Exons: 3
Source: RefSeq, a predicted model, not a curated record